RNAcentral lists this ribosomal RNA (253 nucleotides) under uncultured bacterium. Its description in RNAcentral is "partial 16S ribosomal RNA". It matches the Rfam family "Bacterial small subunit ribosomal RNA", at positions 524 to 776 of the family's 1533-position model. The record is from RNAcentral.
GACAGAGGUGCCAAGCGUUAGGCGGAAUCACUGGGCUUAAAGCGUGUGUAGGCGGACUUGUAAGUACCUUGUGAAAUCCCACGGCUCAACCGUGGAACUGCUUGGUAUACUGCUUGUCUUGAGCCACUUAGGGGCUACCGGAACAAAUGGUGGAGCGGUGAAAUGCGUAGAUAUCUGGAGGAACACCGGUGGCGAAGGCGGCAUCCUGGACCGGUAUUGACGCUGAGGCGCGAAAGCUAGGGGAGCAAACGGG